AACGCACCUUGCGCUCCUUGGUAUUCCGAGGAGCAUGCCUGUUUGAGUGUCAUGGAAUCUUCAAUCCUCUCCUGACUUUGCUGCUUGCGGCGAGUCCGGGACGAGGCUUGGAAGUGGAGGACAAGUGCUGGCCCUGUCGGAAUGAAGGUCUGGCUCCUCUGAAAUGCAUUAGUGCAGACUGCAUGUUUGCCUGCCUUGGUGUGAUAAUAUAACCUCUUGUCUGCACUGCGGUAGGUGAACGAGAAGGCCCUUUGUUGCCAGUAGUGUGUGCUUUCAAACUGUCUGACUUGGCAGACAACGAAAACAUAUGUGCCUGCGUGCGUGUGUGUUUUCCUUGACACCUUUGACCUCAGAUCAGGUAGGACUACCCGCUGAACUUAA
Molecule: unclassified non-coding RNA, 381 nt
Filed under: uncultured fungus
Lineage: Eukaryota; Fungi
Description: partial contains 5.8S ribosomal RNA, internal transcribed spacer 2, and large subunit ribosomal RNA
Rfam family: 5.8S ribosomal RNA (bases 1-52)
Source: RNAcentral